AUGGAAAAACUGCAGCUGAUGGCCAAGCAUGCUAUAGACUACAGCGUGUUUGGGGGGCCUCAAAACUUUGGAAAGUGGAUGGACGUGCACUCAGCUCCGUCUUGCCCUACUGAGGCGAGGGCACCUGUUGAGCAUCUAAUUGGGCAGUUUGCAUCCGGAAUGACCGGCUUGCUCGGGAAGUUGGUUGAGGGGUGGACGUCUCUAAGUGGCUCUGACAGCGACACGGUUGCGAGGCAGUUCACUUCAUUUGUCCCAGAACGUACACGUCGGCCAACCAGUUGCCGUGGCCGGUAUGACUACAACAGCUCCCAAGAGCCUGGUGACACACAAGAUGAACUAGAUGGAGACGCUGGUCUCAGCAAGGAUGACGACGAUGACAUGGAGAAUGUGCAAUAG
Molecule: ribosomal RNA, 396 nt
Filed under: Triticum aestivum (bread wheat)
Lineage: Eukaryota; Viridiplantae; Streptophyta; Magnoliopsida; Poales; Poaceae
Description: partial small subunit ribosomal RNA
Source: RNAcentral